RNAcentral lists this non-coding RNA (112 nucleotides) under Clostridium sp. Its description in RNAcentral is "TPP sequence". It matches the Rfam family "TPP riboswitch aptamer (THI element)". From Rfam's summary of the family: Vitamin B(1) in its active form thiamin pyrophosphate (TPP) is an essential coenzyme that is synthesised by coupling of pyrimidine and thiazole moieties in bacteria. The record is from RNAcentral. RNAcentral also lists the same sequence under 1 other name. Lineage: Bacteria; Bacillati; Bacillota; Clostridia; Eubacteriales; Clostridiaceae.
AUAAAAGGCUAGGGGAGCUAUGAUUGGAUAGUUGAGAAGUAAAGCCGUAACUUUCAGACCCUAAAAACCUGAUCAAGGUAAUUCUUGCGUAGGGAAGCUUAAUAUAGUUAAU